RNAcentral lists this small RNA (138 nucleotides) under Xanthomonas sp. CFBP 8152. Its description in RNAcentral is "sRNA sX11". It matches the Rfam family "Proteobacterial sRNA sX11". Lineage: Bacteria; Pseudomonadati; Pseudomonadota; Gammaproteobacteria; Lysobacterales; Lysobacteraceae. The record is from RNAcentral.
ACGCCAGUCGCGACCCCUUUAGUCCUACUCUCCCCGACAGGCCAAAUUUCCAAGGCAACUCAUGCUGUGGAGCGCUGAGCAAGCUCGUUACCGGCGUUGUUCUGCCCCGGUCGUCCCAUACGCCAGGGGCGUUUGUUU